CAAGGAAUUUUCCCCAAUGGGCGCAAGCCUGAGGGAGCAACGCCGCGUGCAGGACGACGGCCUUCGGGUUGUAAACUGCUUUUGCGUGGGACGAUAACGACGGUACCACGCGAAUCAGCCCCGGCUAACUCUGUGCCAGCAGCCGCGGUAAUACAGAGGGGGCAAGCGUUGUUCGGAAUUACUGGGCGUAAAGGGCGCGUAGGCGGUCUGUUGCGUCAGGUGUGAAAGCCCCGGGCUCAACCUGGGAGGUGCACUUGAUACGGGCGGACUGGAAUCCGGGAGAGGAUGGUGGAAUUCCCAGUGUAGAGGUGAAAUUCGUAGAUAUUGGGAAGAACACCGAUGGCGAAGGCAGCCAUCUGGCCCGGUAUUGACGCUGAGGCGCGAAAGCGUGGGGAGCAAACAGGAUUAGAUACCCCCGUAGUCC
RNAcentral lists this ribosomal RNA (424 nucleotides) under uncultured prokaryote. Its description in RNAcentral is "bacterial SSU rRNA". It matches the Rfam family "Bacterial small subunit ribosomal RNA", at positions 355 to 796 of the family's 1533-position model. The record is from RNAcentral.